RNAcentral lists this ribosomal RNA (468 nucleotides) under uncultured bacterium. RNAcentral describes it as "partial 16S ribosomal RNA". It matches the Rfam family "Bacterial small subunit ribosomal RNA", at positions 28 to 507 of the family's 1533-position model. The record is from RNAcentral.
GACGAACGCUGGCGGCGUGCUUAACACAUGCAAGUCGAACGGAAAGGCCCUGCUUUUGUGGGGUGCUCGAGUGGCGAACGGGUGAGUAACACGUGAGUAACCUGCCCUUGACUUUGGGAUAACUUCAGGAAACUGGGGCUAAUACCGGAUAGGAGCUCCUGCUGCAUGGUGGGGGUUGGAAAGUUUCGGCGGUUGGGGAUGGACUCGCGGCUUAUCGGCUUGUUGGUGGGGUAGUGGCUUACCAAGGCUUUGACGGGUAGCCGGCCUGAGAGGGCGACCGGCCACAUUGGGACUGAGAUACGGCCCAGACUCCUACGGGAGGCAGCAGUGGGGAAUAUUGCACAAUGGGCGGAAGCCUGAUGCAGCAACGCCGCGUGCGGGAUGACGGCCUUCGGGUUGUAAACCGCUUUCGCCUGUGACGAAGCGUGAGUGACGGUAAUGGGUAAAGAAGCACCGGCUAACUACGUG